UACGUAGGGGGCAAGCGUUAUCCGGAUUUACUGGGUGUAAAGGGAGCGUAGACGGCAUGGCAAGCCAGAUGUGAAAUACCGGGGCUCAACCCCGGGACUGCAUUUGGAACUGUUAAGCUGGAGUGUCGGAGAGGCAGGCGGAAUUCCUAGUGUAGCGGUGAAAUGCGUAGAUAUCACACAGAACACCGAUUGCGAAGGCAUCUCACGAAUCCGCGAUUGACGCUGAUGCACGAAAGCGUGGGUAUCAAACAGG
This 253-nucleotide ribosomal RNA is filed under the name uncultured Blautia sp. RNAcentral's name for it is "partial 16S ribosomal RNA". It matches the Rfam family "Bacterial small subunit ribosomal RNA", at positions 524 to 776 of the family's 1533-position model. Lineage: Bacteria; Bacillati; Bacillota; Clostridia; Lachnospirales; Lachnospiraceae. The record is from RNAcentral.